RNAcentral lists this ribosomal RNA (118 nucleotides) under Pteropus alecto (black flying fox). RNAcentral also lists the same sequence under 1 other name. Lineage: Eukaryota; Metazoa; Chordata; Mammalia; Chiroptera; Pteropodidae. The record is from RNAcentral.
GUCUAUGGCCAUGCUACCCAGAACAAGCCCAAUCCCGUCUGAUCUCAGAAGCUAAGUAGGGUCGGGCCGGCUAGUACUUGGAUGGGAGACCACCUAGGAAGACCAGGUGCUGUGAACA